GCUACAGAAGCAGAGCUUGGCCCUGGAGAUGGGGGGGGGGGUCUUCCAGCCCAUUCUCCCCCCACCCCAUAUUAGCCGAUCAGCCGUGGCACAGCUGUAGCUUCUGCUCAGCUGGGUGCAUCCCUGCCCCCUCCCCAGAAACUAUAACCCCCCCCUAAACCCUUCCCCUCCACAUACACUCCCCUGGGGGAAAUUCACCCGCUGACGUCACAAGGAGCCAAAACUUUGGCAUUAUCAAGUCAUCGCCCCUCCCCCACUCGCAAUCAACCUCGUCUGUAAAGACUCGCCCCCCCCCUCAACCGCUCCCCCCGAAAGCAGCCAGAGAACUCAAUGCAAGCCGGGGGAGGGGGCGCCUGUGACUACUGCCCCACUCCAAACAGAACUGGGGGGGCAGGGGGGAGCACUGCAAAGCAGGGGUGUCAUUUCAGACAAAUUCCGGGGGGGGGGGAGUUGUGUGCAGCCUCAAGAACAUUACAGCAGUGUCAUUGGACCAGCCAAGAUUGGAGCUCCAAACACAGUCAGGACCAGAUUCUGAUCCGUGACAUUGAGUUAAAUCUGGAGUGACUUCAGCAAGAGGAGGGAAUCAUGGCCCAAUUUGUAUCUCAGUUACACCAUCUGGCCUCACUGCACAUGUCCACGUUGUUAAGCUCCAUUGGGAGGGAGAGCAGCGCUGAGGGGUCGGAUUGCUGUACGGGAAGGUGUUGAUGGCUGCACAGUUGCAGAUCCAAAGCUGCUACCUCUGCUGCCAGAUGGUCACUGAUAAAAAUGUUAAACAGCAUCACCAAGAACCGAUCCCUGCGGGACCCCCCUGGAAACAGACCCGCUCGAUGUUGAUUCUCCGUGUACCGUUACAUUCUGAGACCUGUCGGAUAGCCAGUCUGUAAUCUAUUUAAUGUUUGCCGUGGUAACUUUAAAUCGUUCUAGUUUUUAAAUCAAAAUAUCGUGCGGUACACGUCAAAUGCCCUACAGAAGUCUGAGUAUAUUACACCGAUGCGGUUACCUUUAUCCACCAAACUUGUAAACUCAUCCAAAAAAAGGUAUCAAAUUAGUUUGACAGGAGCUAUUUUCCAUAAACCCAUGUUGAUUGGCAUUAAUUACAUCACCCUCCUUUAAGUCUUGCUUAAUCAAGUCCUGCAUCAGCUGCUCCAUUACCUUGCUCAGGAUGGAUGUUUGUCAGGAUGACAGACCCAUAAUUCCCCGGGUCAUCCCAUUUACACUUCGCACAACAGAAGCUUUCUUCCAGUCUUCUGGGAUUUCUCUGGUGUGCCAAGACUUAUUGAAAA
Long non-coding RNA from Mauremys reevesii (Reeves's turtle), 1283 nucleotides. RefSeq lists it as uncharacterized. The transcript is spliced from 4 exons. Lineage: Eukaryota; Metazoa; Chordata; Testudines; Geoemydidae. The record is from RefSeq and is a predicted model, not a curated record.